This 239-nucleotide ribosomal RNA is filed under the name uncultured bacterium. Its description in RNAcentral is "partial 16S ribosomal RNA". It matches the Rfam family "Bacterial small subunit ribosomal RNA", at positions 118 to 347 of the family's 1533-position model. The record is from RNAcentral.
UGGGUAACCUGCCUCAAAGAGGGGAAUAGCCUCCCGAAAGGGAGAUUAAUACCGCAUAAUAUGUUUAAGUCGCAUGACUUUAACAUCAAAGGAUUUUUCUUUUAGAAAUUCCACUUUGAGAUGGACCCGCGGCGCAUUAGCUAGUUGGUGAGGUAACGGCUCACCAAGGCAACGAUGCGUAGCCGACCUGAGAGGGUNAUCGGCCACAUUGGAACUGAGACACGCCCAGCUCCUAGGAG